This is a non-coding RNA of Gossypium arboreum, 145 nucleotides long. The record is from Rfam. Lineage: Eukaryota; Viridiplantae; Streptophyta; Magnoliopsida; Malvales; Malvaceae.
UGUUAAAAAUUUCAUCUAUCUGUACGGUUGAAAACUGGUGUGGCUGAUGGAAUAAUUAGACAAUGAUAUGUGCCGUGCCGUGUGUAUAUCAUGCUAACGUAUAGGGAUCGGUUUUUAAUAGUAGAAAUAGAUGAAAAUUUUAACA